GCGAGUCUGAAUAGGGCGCAUAAGUAACAGGUCGUAGACCCGAAACCAGGUGAUCUACCCAUGUCCAGGAUGAAGGUAAGGUAAUACUUACUGGAGGUCCGAACCCACGCACGUUGAAAAGUGCGGGGAUGAGGUGUGGGUAGCGGAGAAAUUCCAAUCGAACUUGGAGAUAGCUGGUUCUCUCCGAAAUAGCUUUAGGGCUAGCCUCGAGGUAAAGAGUCAUGGAGGUAGAGCACUGUUUGGACUAGGGGCCCUUCUCGGGUUACCGAAUUCAGAUAAACUCCGAAUGCCAUGUACUUAUACUCGGGAGUCAGACUGCGAGUGAUAAGAUCCGUAGUCGAAAGGGAAACAGCCCAGACCACCAGUUAAGGUCCCCAAAUAUAUGUUAAGUGGAAAAGGAUGUGGGGUUGCUUAGACAACCAGGAUGUUGGCUUAGAAGCAGCCACCAUUGAAAGAGUGCGUAAUAGCUCACUGGUCGAGUGACCCCGCGCCGAAAAUGUACCGGGGCUAAACAUAUUACCGAAACUGUGGAUGAACCUCUUCGGAGGUUCGUGGUAGGAGAGCGUUCUAAGGGCGGUGAAGUCAGACCGGAAGGACUGGUGGAGCGCUUAGAAGUGAGAAUGCCGGUAUGAGUAGCGAAAGAAGGGUGAGAAUCCCUUCCACCGAAUAUCUAAGGUUUCCUGAGGAAGGCUCGUCCGCUCAGGGUUAGUCGGGACCUAAGCCGAGGCCGAUAGGCGUAGGCGAUGGACAACAGGUAGAGAUUCCUGUACCAGUGCUAAUUGUUUAACCGAUGGGGUGACACAGAAGGAUAGGGAAUCGCACGAAUGGAAAUGUGCGUCCAAGCAGUGAGUGUGAGAAGUAGG
This 863-nucleotide ribosomal RNA is filed under the name Listeria monocytogenes. RNAcentral's name for it is "partial 23S ribosomal RNA". It matches the Rfam family "Bacterial large subunit ribosomal RNA", at positions 677 to 1536 of the family's 2925-position model. The record is from RNAcentral. Lineage: Bacteria; Bacillati; Bacillota; Bacilli; Caryophanales; Listeriaceae.